UUCACUUCCCUUUGCCAAGUUACCAAAACCAAACUAAGCCUUAAAAUAAAGGAGUAUUGGUUGGUAGGGAAGAAAGAACCGCACCAUUUUUUGCUUUUGCCAGACACGGUUCACCAGAUUGUGAUGACCUCGGUCUUUAAAAAUUCUCUUGGUCUUGUGCAGCCAGAACCUAACUAUUCUCUCUCAUCAUCCAUCAAAUUGCCAUUUCCGAGCAUCCUUUUUUGCUUGGAAGGAUGUCAAGCUAUACAGUUGAGUCCUCCACAGUAGAAACCAAUGAUGGAGUGAAGCUCCAGACAAGGGUCUUCAAGCCCAAAGAAGAUGAGAUCAAAGACAAAUUGGUUAUUGUUCUUGUCCACCCAUAUUCAGUUUUGGGUGGUUGUCAAGCUCUUCUAAAAGGAAUUGCAAUUGGGUUGGCACAGAAAGGUUACACGGCUGUCACUUUUGACAUGAGAGGUGCUGGGAGGUCCACAGGGAAGCCUUCUCUUACCGGGUUUUCUGAAGUCAAGGAUGUCAUCGCUGUCUGCAAAUGGGUUUGUGAAAAUCUAUCAACUGACAAGAUUUUGUUGGUGGGUUCCUCUGCAGGUGCACCAAUUUCAGGAUCUGCAGUAGAUGAGAUUAACGAAGUGGUUGGAUAUGUAAGUCUAGGAUAUCCUUUCGGCAUGAUGGCCUCAAUCCUUUUUGGGCGACAUCACAAAGCCAUCUUACAGACUCCAAAACCAAAACUCUUUGUAAUGGGAACCCGGGAUGGUUUUACCAGCGUUAAGCAGCUGCAGAAAAAGCUGAGCUCAGCUGCGGGACGCGUUGAGACGCAUCUAAUUGAAGGAGCAGGACACUUCCAAAUGGAAGGCCCUGCUUAUGAUGCUCAGAUGGUGAACCUUAUCCUUACGUUCAUUGCAUCUUUAUAGGACUAUUAUGUAGUCUCUGAGAUGACGUUCAAUGCAUCUACAUAGGACUUCAUAGGAUGAGUGAAAAUAGAACCACCAUUCCAGCGAAUGUGGCCUCUAAACCAAAUAUUAUAGCACAAGGGAAAGCAAAUUUUAAAGAGACCUUUGCACAGGCAAAUGUCAUUCACUGUGAACAUAAUUUACACAAGUAUUUUCCAACAUCCAAUGAAAUCAAAAUUACAACGGAA
Manihot esculenta (cassava) is the source of this 1132-nucleotide RNA transcript. RefSeq lists it as uncharacterized. NCBI's taxonomy places the organism in Eukaryota, Viridiplantae, Streptophyta, Magnoliopsida, Malpighiales, Euphorbiaceae. The record is from RefSeq and is a predicted model, not a curated record. The transcript is spliced from 3 exons.